AUGAACAAGCCAGGAGGUUAUGACUGUCCAUGUAAAAGAUGGAAGAAAGGGGACGGGAAAGCAGGAACUUGUGCAGAAAAUUUCCCCCUGGUAGUAACGUUGGUUGUUGUUGCAAUAGGGGGGAUUUCUUGCAUUUCAAUUGUGACACUUGUUAUUCUUCUUCGCAAAGAGAAAAGAAAGAUGAGAGAAUUCUAUGAAAAGAAUGGAGGGCCUACUUUACAGAAGGCAAAACUCAUAAAACUUUUCAAGAAGGAGGAACUCAGACCAAUUCUAAAGAGUAGAAAUUUUAUUGGAAAAGGUGGCUUCAGUGAAGUUUACAAGGGUAGCCUUCUUGAUAUUGGCGUGUUGGAGAAUAAACAAUUUGCAAAUGAAGUCAUCAUCCAAUCUCAAGUAAUCCACAAGAACAUAGUCAGGCUCAUAGGUUGUUGCCUAGAAGUUGAUAUUCCAAUGCUAGUAUAUGAGUUUCUUUCCAAAGGUAGCCUCGAUGACAUUCUUCACAAUAACAAUGAUGCACCUCUUGACUUGCACGGUCUAGCUUAUAUGCACUCAAAAGCACAUACUAGAAUCUUACAUGGUGAUGUCAAACCAGCAAAUAUACUCUUGGAUGAUAACUUUGGCAUAUCGAGGUUGAUUGUGAGAGAUAAACAACACACAAAUACAGUCAUUGGUGACAGGAGCUAUAUGGAUCCAGAGUACCUACGGUCGGGCCUAUUGACUGAAAAAAGUGAUGUCUACAGUUUUGGAGUCGUGAUACUAGAACUUAUUAGUAGGCAGAUAGCUACACAUUCUGAUGGUAAUAGAUUAGUAGAAAAUUUCCUGGAAGCCCACAACGAAAACAGAGCUGCUGUAUUUUUUGAUGAGGCGUUUACAAGGCCAUGUGAUUUGGACCUACUUAGUAGUCUUGCGGUGAUCGCUAUGAAAUGUCUUGAACAUGAUGUGGAUCAAAGGCCAUCAAUGAUAGAGGUAGCUCAGCGCAUUCUUACAAUUUAUCAUUCGCAUGUCACAUUAGUUCAGUGA
RNAcentral lists this ribosomal RNA (1017 nucleotides) under Triticum aestivum (bread wheat). Its description in RNAcentral is "partial small subunit ribosomal RNA". The record is from RNAcentral. Lineage: Eukaryota; Viridiplantae; Streptophyta; Magnoliopsida; Poales; Poaceae.